AAACUUACCUUUACCUUGAGUGUAUGGUUGAUCAUUAAGGACCAUUGCCUAUAACACUAACCUUCAUUGCAUUUUAAAAGGGGUGUUGUUUUAAGGCAUAUUCAACUGAUAGAGCCUACAUCAUAAUUUGUUGCAAAGGGAAUCUGCGUACGCGUAAUUUUUAA
RNAcentral lists this small nuclear RNA (164 nucleotides) under Phaseolus vulgaris (common bean). RNAcentral describes it as "snRNA U1". It matches the Rfam family "U1 spliceosomal RNA". From Rfam's summary of the family: U1 is a small nuclear RNA (snRNA) component of the spliceosome (involved in pre-mRNA splicing). Its 5' end forms complementary base pairs with the 5' splice junction, thus defining the 5' donor site of an intron. The record is from RNAcentral. Lineage: Eukaryota; Viridiplantae; Streptophyta; Magnoliopsida; Fabales; Fabaceae.